AACGAACGCUGGCGGCAUGCCUAACACAUGCAAGUCGAACGAGACCUUCGGGUCUAGUGGCGCACGGGUGCGUAACGCGUGGGAACCUGCCCUUAGGUUCGGAAUAACUCCCCGAAAGGGGUGCUAAUACCGGAUAAUGUCUUCGGACCAAAGAUUUAUCGCCUUUGGAUGGGCCCGCGUUUGAUUAGCUAGUUGGUAGGGUAAAAGCCUACCAAGGCGACGAUCCAUAGCUGGUCUGAGAGGAUGAUCAGCCACACUGGGACUGAGACACGGCCCAGACUCCUACGGGAGGCAGCAGUGGGGAAUAUUGGACAAUGGGCGAAAGCCUGAUCCAGCAAUGCCGCGUGAGUGAUGAAGGCCUUAGGGUUGUAAAGCUCUUUUACCCGGGAUGAAAAGACAGUACCGGGAGAAUAAGCUCCGGCUAACUCCG
Molecule: ribosomal RNA, 430 nt
Filed under: uncultured bacterium
Lineage: Bacteria
Description: partial 16S ribosomal RNA
Rfam family: Bacterial small subunit ribosomal RNA
Source: RNAcentral